Long non-coding RNA from Mobula hypostoma (lesser devil ray), 322 nucleotides. RefSeq lists it as uncharacterized. NCBI's taxonomy places the organism in Eukaryota, Metazoa, Chordata, Chondrichthyes, Myliobatiformes, Myliobatidae. The transcript has 4 exons. The record is from RefSeq and is a predicted model, not a curated record.
GAUGAGUCCUGUGCCUAUUAUUGCAGAGCUGGGAAUGUGAUUGGAGAUCAGGAUUCUGAACCCAAACGCUUUAAGGUUCAGUCUCAGCUAUCCAAGGCAUCAGCCAUUUCAAUGGCUUUGAAAGGGGCUCUGUUUCUUUUCACCUCAGUGGCUCUGAUUUGUUUCCUUAAGAAUCGCAGAAAUACCAGAAAUCCAGCAGAAAAAGCAGAAAGGCCUGUGUCAGAGCAUUUGUAUGAAAUGGUCUUGAUCAGCAGCGGGGGAAAUAGGUGGAAGAACUAAUGAAAGCUCCACAAUAACUCAGGAACAAAGAACGAGCGUAUAA